CCCUCGAUAGCUCAGCUGGCAGAGCGGAGGACUGUAGAUGUUACAACGGUGAUCCUUAGGUCGCUGGUUCAAAUCCGGCUCGAGAGA
This 87-nucleotide transfer RNA is filed under the name Cordylochernes scorpioides. RNAcentral describes it as "tRNA-Tyr". It matches the Rfam family "tRNA". From Rfam's summary of the family: Transfer RNA (tRNA) molecules are approximately 80 nucleotides in length. Their secondary structure includes four short double-helical elements and three loops (D, anti-codon, and T loops). Lineage: Eukaryota; Metazoa; Arthropoda; Arachnida; Pseudoscorpiones; Chernetidae. The record is from RNAcentral.